Molecule: ribosomal RNA, 657 nt
Filed under: Paenarthrobacter nitroguajacolicus
Lineage: Bacteria; Bacillati; Actinomycetota; Actinomycetes; Micrococcales; Micrococcaceae
Description: bacterial SSU rRNA
Rfam family: Bacterial small subunit ribosomal RNA
Source: RNAcentral
GCUUGCUGGGGGAUUAGUGGCGAACGGGUGAGUAACACGUGAGUAACCUGCCCUUGACUCUGGGAUAAGCCUGGGAAACUGGGUCUAAUACCGGAUACGACCAUCUGGCGCAUGUCAUGGUGGUGGAAAGCUUUUGUGGUUUUGGAUGGACUCGCGGCCUAUCAGCUUGUUGGUGGGGUAAUGGCCUACCAAGGCGACGACGGGUAGCCGGCCUGAGAGGGUGACCGGCCACACUGGGACUGAGACACGGCCCAGACUCCUACGGGAGGCAGCAGUGGGGAAUAUUGCACAAUGGGCGAAAGCCUGAUGCAGCGACGCCGCGUGAGGGAUGACGGCCUUCGGGUUGUAAACCUCUUUCAGUAGGGAAGAAGCGAAAGUGACGGUACCUGCAGAAGAAGCGCCGGCUAACUACGUGCCAGCAGCCGCGGUAAUACGUAGGGCGCAAGCGUUAUCCGGAAUUAUUGGGCGUAAAGAGCUCGUAGGCGGUUUGUCGCGUCUGCUGUGAAAGACCGGGGCUCAACUCCGGUUCUGCAGUGGGUACGGGCAGACUAGAGUGCAGUAGGGGAGACUGGAAUUCCUGGUGUAGCGGUGAAAUGCGCAGAUAUCAGGAGGAACACCGAUGGCGAAGGCAGGUCUCUGGGCUGUAACUGACGCUGA